UGCCAGGGCGUAUCCAAGAUGCACCCCUGUA
This 31-nucleotide non-coding RNA is filed under the name Rattus norvegicus (Norway rat). Lineage: Eukaryota; Metazoa; Chordata; Mammalia; Rodentia; Muridae. The record is from RNAcentral.